CUGCCCCUGCCCGGCCGCCCCUCGGCCCCUGCCCCGGCCUCAGUCGAGGCACCUGCCCCAGGCGUGGGCAUACUGGGAGGGCUCUUCCCGGUCCAAGCGCACUGCCUGUAGGGGCCAGCGGGGAGCAAAGCCUGAGACUGAAGGUCAGAGGCGCCGUGAGGCUUGGCUGUUUUAACCUGGGUUCCCAGCUGGCCCCUGCCUGGUGAUCGCACCACAGGAAGCCCAGGCUGGGAGGGGCGGGUCUCUGACCCCGAGCCGGAGGGGCCCGGCCUGGGCUGCGCUCCUCUUCUUGCUGUUUUCCUCUCCAGCGGAGCAGUGCCCGGGGCUGCCUGUGCUGGGGUGGAGAGGUGGCCCAUCCCUCUGCCGCGGUGAGGAGACUAAAGCUGUCAUGCUGAGGCUGUGUGGCCUUGGUGGGGGCCCCCAGAAGCUGGGAGAGGGGUCUCCUCUCGUCUGUUCCAAAGGGGCCCUGCCAGCACCGUCUCCCUUCUGUGAGGCCUCCUGGCACCCCCAGGGGCCUCCCUGGAGUCAUGUCCUAACGGGCCGUGUUGGAGACACUAAUUUGUGGGUAGGCACUGAGGCAGAAAGCCAGAGAACCAUUUUUGGAGCUGAGUCGGGGUGAGAUGGCACGUGACGGGGACCCUUUUGGGGGCAGCUGUCCCGCUUCCCCUAAGAGGCUGGGAACCGGGGUUGAUGCCUGCAGACUCCCUGGCCCAGAGGAGGUGGGGAGCACAUCACUGCUCCGGGGCAUGGAAACCUCCGAGGCUCGGCCCUGCCCAGGCUCCAUCGCCUUUUCCCAGAGGAGAGCAGUGGGGAGAGGCUGGGGCCAUCGGGGCCAGGGACAGGAUCCCCGAGCUCUAUCACUUUGUGGCUCAGGACCUGGAAGCUCUGAGGAAGAGGAGUGCGGUAGUUUUCACAGGAGUCUGGCAAGUGUUUGUCGAACUAAACAGACGAGGGUGCUCGAUGCUGGUGGUACGCCGGCGCCGUGUGGUGGUCCCGAGCUGCAUCCUCCCUGGCGCUCCCAUCCCAGUCUUUCUGUCCUUAGUUGCGAUGUCCCUUUCCACCCCAUGAAGCGAAGUCUGGGGGCCAGGGGAGGGAGUGAGAGGGAGAAAAUGAUGUCCAUAUUCUAGAAGGACAAAUUGAGUCCUUCAUAGUCCAGGGGGUGAAUGCUGGGAGGUGAGCCCCGGGGGGCUGUAAGGGUGCCCCGCUGCUGGGAGAUGAGGGCUGGCUCUGGCCCUCAUGCUUGCUACACCCAGGGCAGCCCCCCUUUUAACCAUUUUAUAUACUGGGGAUAUAUGACGUUCUUCUAUGUAAAGACAGGGUUCUGUGGCUAAAAGAGCUUGGAAAUGGUUUCUGUAGAGCCUUUCUCUGGGGAAGCCAAAGGUCCCUUUCCCAGGUUGGGAGCGCAGGGGGGACAGGCCUGCUGGAGCUUGACUGAUGCAGCCUCCUUUCCCAGCACCUGUCUUCCCAGACCGCUCACCUCUCUGGCAGGACUCAGGGAGAGAGGUCCAGUGCCGCCUUGGAAUCCAGGGAUCCCACCUUCCAUGCGGAUGGGAGAUUUCCCACCAUGCCCGGCACAAUGUCUCCAGAGCAGUGAAGUCUGCAUUGGGGUGGGAUGUCCUGAGCUGUCUUGUGUCGCCAUGGGGACUGAGAAAACCCCUCUCUUCCAAGGCUCAGAGAGAGCAACCUAGUCACAAACCCAGAGAAGGUGGAGAGCACAUGAGGGUCCUCUCUGAGAAGGGCACCUCUCCUCCUCAGCCAUGUCAGGAGGUGCCCGGUCCGGCCCCUCCCCCAGGAAGCCCAGCUCUGGCUGAGGACGGUGCAGCUUCGCUCCUGAUGAUAGGGGUGUGCUGGAAGUAAGCUCCUAGGACCCUUCACACAGGAGGAAAUUGAGCCCCGGGUGAAUGCCAGACUCAAGGGAAUGGUCUGCGGCGGGAGCAGCAGAGGAAGAUCCUUAGAAGCGGCCACAGAUUGGACCAUAGGAGGCACCAAGAAACUAGGGGUUCCGGAAGGUACCUGUGUCCUUGAGCCCACACCAGUGAAGACCACUUCACCUGCUUCCCCGUCCCAGAGGGAUAAGCACCCCUUUUUCUCGCUGAUACAUUCCAUGGAGCGCACGCCUGGACUCCCUCCUUCUCGGCUCUCGGGAAGGUCAGGAAGUCUUCUUUAUACCCAGCUGCUCUCCUUUGCUUUGAUGCUCAAGUCCCAAAGUGGUGCCCACUCUGGGCUUGAGGCCAGCCCUCUCUCAUCAAGGUUGGGAGGAGAGACUGGCCAUCCCGCAGUCUUUCAGCUUCUCUCAUUUUUAACUCUUCUCCCAAACUGUGAUCUCAGGGAGGCUCGGUGAGGCUCACCGGGAUUGGACCCUCUCCCUGGGUAGGGCCGAGCGGGGCACGCGGCACAGUCUGGUGGUGAUGUGAGGGCAUGACACCCCUUGCUCUCUUCCAUCCCACACCUGCACAGUGUACAGACAGCAAAUGCUUGUUGCCAGAAUACCCACAUUAGCCCUGAGUAGGAUACCCGAGAGCCGCAUGGUAUCAGGAAGCCUGUGGCGGGGGAACCUCUGUCCUGGGCGGCUAGUUGUGAAGGGCUGAGGCUCCUACCGCACAGUGUCCCCUGAGUGCUCUGUCACCCACUGCCAGGGGGCCAAGGGAGGGGCCGACCUUCCAUGCAGCCCCAGGCAGACUGUUUAUUGCCUUCCUUCAAGACUGCGGAUGAUAAGCAUCCAACUUGCCUGAAAGGUCGGAUGAUAUGUGUGUAGGUAUGGAUUCUGGUCACCCACACCCUCUCAUCACUGCCUGGGGAUGGAAGCCGGGGGCUGGGGCUGGGGGUGGCAGAGGGGUUAAGAGCAUGGACCUUGGCCACGACAGUGCAGUGUCUGUGUGAGAGCUAGUUCACCAGCUGUGUGUGCCCGGGCCGGCUGACUCACCCUCUGUGACUUAGUUUCCUCAUCUGGAGCUGGUCCCUACUCGAUAGGCUGGUGUGUGGAUUCACUGAGGGGGUGUUUGUGUAGGGUUUGGCAUAGUGUCUGGCCCGUGGGAAGAGCCCAAUCAGUAUUAGCCAGUGGUGUUAUUAGGGUGAACAGGGCCAAGAAGUGUUAGUCAUGGAAGUCUUCCUGGAAGAGGAAAUCCUGGAGCUAACAUUGGGAGAAGAGGAGGAACAUUGUUCCAUGAAAGGGCAGCCUUAGAGCUUCAUGGAUGGCGGGGGACCCACAGACGGCCGCCCCCCGCCUGCUCCCCGACGUGCUUAGGUGG
Manis javanica (Malayan pangolin) is the source of this 3248-nucleotide non-coding RNA. The record is from RefSeq and is a predicted model, not a curated record. NCBI's taxonomy places the organism in Eukaryota, Metazoa, Chordata, Mammalia, Pholidota, Manidae.